GGUGCUGGGAGUAGGGCGCAAGAUGUCGGCGGAUGCAGCUCCGAGGAGGUAGGCAGUGGGAGCCGGCGUUCAGUCCGGCCCGUGCCAACAGUGGUUCCUCUCUCCCCCGUAGUUCGAGGAGACCACGCGCUGCCCCUCUGGCACGAUCGUGGAUGAACCCCCUGGCAACUGAAAUGGGAAAGGCAGCGCCCCCGACUCUGGGGACUGGACCGAAGUCCACGGUAGUGACAGCUGCCAGACCCUGAGGAGAGGACGAGAAGACCCGAGGCCUCUGCUACGAACACUGGCAGCCGAUGGAAAAUUCAGACGGAUUUGGGACAGUAUGCAGAGUUCUCCAAGCGACAGAUUAACAGAGGCUCUUGAAGAAUAACUGCGUAAUCACGUGUUCUGCUCAAAAGAAGGCCUGAAUGCCCAGUGCCUUAUUUGGCUUUCAGGGGUCUUGCGGUGUCACCCAGGCUAGAGUACAGUGGUGCAAUCAUAGCUCACUGCUGCCUCAAACUCCUAGACUCAAGCAAUCCUCCUGCUUCAGCCUCCCGAGUAGCUGGGACUACAGGUAGAUGAUGGGCUCCACGGGAACAGAGCAAACGUUCGCUCCUGCUCCUACACGGUGUUUCCUCUAAACCUGAGGCUCAGCCGACUUGUCAUCACUUAAAACCCAAUUCAGAGCGGGGGGGCACUGCCAGUGAAUAGUUCAUCACCGACUCAGUUUCCCCAUGUGUAUGCUGUGGUAUUGGAUCAGCAACGAGAUAAGAAGAUCUCUCCCAUUUCCAAGCGUCUAUGAUGAUUCUGAGGCACAAGGUCACAUUUGACAGUACUAGGAAACCCAGGAAACAAGAAGCAAAGAUGACAAAGGCUGUGUCUGCCUGGGCAGACGAUCUAUUUGGACAAGAUAAUAGACCCAGGCAUGGACAUGCUCUCCAAGAAAGAUGCCCUGACAGCUGCUCACACUGAAGCUGAAUCGAACAUUCCAAUCCUUAGAGGUUCCAGCGAAGAUCUUGAAGUCUCCCUGAGCCAUUGACACAAUGGCCAUGCCAUCCCAGUGAUAAAACACAAAUUGUGGCCUUGUUUUGGACAGAAAUAAAGAGCCCAGUUUGUUAGUGA
Molecule: long non-coding RNA, 1101 nt
Filed under: Homo sapiens (human)
Lineage: Eukaryota; Metazoa; Chordata; Mammalia; Primates; Hominidae
Description: non-protein coding TMEM44-AS1:16
Source: RNAcentral